CUACGGGGUGCACCAGUGGGGAAUAUUGCACAAUGGAGGAAACUCUGAUGCAGCAACGCCGCGUGGAGGAUGACACAUUUCGGUGCGUAAACUCCUUUUAUAUGGGAAGAUAAUGACGGUACCAUAUGAAUAAGCACCGGCUAACUCCGUGCCAGCAGCCGCGGUAAUACGGAGGGUGCAAGCGUUACUCGGAAUCACUGGGCGUAAAGCGCGCGCAGGCGGCCUUGUAAGUUGGAUGUGAAAGCCUACGGCUCAACCGUAGAACUGCAUCCAAAACUACUCGGCUAGAGUGUGGGAGGGGAAGAUGGAAUUAGUUGUGUAGGGGUAAAAUCCGUAGAGAUAACUAGGAAUACCAAAAGCGAAGGCAAUCUUCUGGAACACUACUGACGCUGAGGCGCGAAAGCGUGGGGAGCAAACAGGAUUAGAUACCCCGGUAGUC
Molecule: ribosomal RNA, 439 nt
Filed under: uncultured bacterium
Lineage: Bacteria
Description: partial 16S ribosomal RNA
Rfam family: Bacterial small subunit ribosomal RNA
Source: RNAcentral